This 253-nucleotide ribosomal RNA is filed under the name uncultured bacterium. Its description in RNAcentral is "partial 16S ribosomal RNA". It matches the Rfam family "Bacterial small subunit ribosomal RNA", at positions 524 to 776 of the family's 1533-position model. The record is from RNAcentral.
UACGUAGGGACCGAGCGUUGUCCGGAAUCAUUGGGCGUAAAGAGCGUGUAGGCGGCCCUUUAAGUCCUGCGUGAAAUCCUGCGGCUCAACCGCAGGCGGUCGUGGGAAACUGGAGGGCUAGAGUGCGGGAGAGGAGAGUGGAAUUCCCGGUGUAGCGGUGAAAUGCGCAGAUAUCGGGAAGAACACCCGUGGCGAAGGCGGCUCUCUGGAACGCAACUGACGCUGAGACGCGAAAGCGUGGGGAGCGAACAGG